RNAcentral lists this ribosomal RNA (464 nucleotides) under Vreelandella stevensii. RNAcentral describes it as "partial 16S ribosomal RNA". It matches the Rfam family "Bacterial small subunit ribosomal RNA", at positions 338 to 795 of the family's 1533-position model. The record is from RNAcentral. Lineage: Bacteria; Pseudomonadati; Pseudomonadota; Gammaproteobacteria; Oceanospirillales; Halomonadaceae.
CCUACGGGCGGCUGCAGUGGGGAAUAUUGGACAAUGGGCGAAAGCCUGAUCCAGCCAUGCCGCGUGUGUGAAGAAGGCCUUCGGGUUGUAAAGCACUUUCAGUGGGGAAGAAAGCCUUGGGGCUAAUACCCUCGAGGAAGGACAUCACCCACAGAGAAGCACCGGCUAACUCCGUGCCAGCAGCCGCGGUAAUACGGAGGGUGCGAGCGUUAAUCGGAAUUACUGGGCGUAAAGCGCGCGUAGGCGGUCUGAUAAGCCGGUUGUGAAAGCCCCGGGCUCAACCUGGGAACGGCAUCCGGAACUGUCAGGCUAGAGUGCAGGAGAGGAAGGUAGAAUUCCCGGUGUAGCGGUGAAAUGCGUAGAGAUCGGGAGGAAUACCAGUGGCGAAGGCGGCCUUCUGGACUGACACUGACGCUGAGGUGCGAAAGCGUGGGUAGCAAACAGGAUUAGAUACCCGAGUAGUC